GUUUAUUUAACAAGGGAAAGCAGACAUAAAGACAUGGGAAAAACACUAAGAGGUUGAGCAUGGACUCGAUUCACCUGGUCAUUUGCCAAAUUCCGGAGGAAAAUUUUGGGAGAGAAAAGCUAUGAAGGAAUAACAACACAAAAAUCGAUAACCUGAUUUUUGGGGUGUUACAAACCUUCCCCCUUAGAUGAAUCUCCUCCUCGAGAUUCCUAGGGUUAGCUUAGAAAAAAAC
This 232-nucleotide long non-coding RNA is filed under the name Hordeum vulgare. RNAcentral's name for it is "long non-coding RNA (HVUL_LNC008930)". The record is from RNAcentral. Lineage: Eukaryota; Viridiplantae; Streptophyta; Magnoliopsida; Poales; Poaceae.